Olea europaea var. sylvestris is the source of this 3436-nucleotide long non-coding RNA. RefSeq lists it as uncharacterized. The transcript has 2 exons. The record is from RefSeq and is a predicted model, not a curated record. Lineage: Eukaryota; Viridiplantae; Streptophyta; Magnoliopsida; Lamiales; Oleaceae.
UUACAUAUUGUUCUUAACUGCUUAAUGUCAUAAUAGCAGAUGAAUGUGAAAAAUGCAUAGUUGAAUGGAGAAUUGGAAGAAGUUUACAUGGAGUCACCACUGGGUUUCGCGAAAGAAUUUGGGAGUAACAAUGUACAUUGGUUGAAGAACUCACUCUAUGGCUUAAAACAAUCAUCAAGAGCCUAGUUUGAUCGCUUCACUAGGUCAGUAAAAAAGUUUGGAUAUGGCUUAAAACAAUCAUUAAGAGCAUGGUUUGAUUGCUUCACUAGGUCAGUAAAAAAGUUUAGAUAUUUUUAAGUUCGGAAAUCUUGAACAAGUUUGUCGUUCUACACAUUGUUCUUAACUGCUUAAUGUCAUAAUAGCAUAUGCGUAGUUGGAUGGAGAAUUGGAAGAAGUUUACAUGGAGUCAACACCAGGUUUCGCGAAAGAAUUUGGGAGUAAUAAUGUACAUUGGUUGAAGAACUCACUCUAUGACUUAAAACAAUCAUCAAAAGCAUGGUUUGAUCGCUUCACUAGGUCAGUAAAAAAAUUUGGAUAUUUUUAAGGGCAGACUGACCAUACAUUGUUUAUCAAGCAUAUAGGUGGUAAGAUUUCUAUUUUGAUAGUAUACGUCGAUAACAUUAUUUUCACAGAUGAUAAUCUGGAAGAACUUGUAUGUCUUAAGGAGUUUUUAGCUAAAAAAUUUUUAGAGACCUAGGACAACUUCAAUAGUCUUUGGGAAUGGAAAGAACAAGAAAUAAGACAGGUAUCUACUAGGAGCCACUUGACAAUUCAAUGAAACGGAUGAAUAAUAGCAAACAUUAUAGAACUGUAUUGAUGGCAAUAUGAAUUACAAAGUAAAGGAAAUACAAUAAACCUUUCAAGAGGGCUGUACUCUCCACAAUAUGAUUUUCACUCACUAUUUAGCAUGCCCAAUCCUUUUCCCCACUUUCUUUAUUUAUAAGCUACUUGUAACAGUUUUUCCCUUCCAUUUUUACUCUCUAAUAGACUAAUUUUCUACCCACUUGUGGGUUAUUCUUCUUCUAGGUCUUUCUAGAAUGCACGAGUUGGAAUGAAGCCUAUCAAUACCCCGAGUUAUAAAUCCACCUUGUCCACAAGGUGGUAGUUAAUGAAGUGUUGGUGAUGCCAAUUGCAUGCUCUUCCAUCGUCAAGAUUUUGGUAGGAAAGAUUUCUAUCCCAUUUGAAGCACACACAUUUAAAGGUGUAGCUAGCAUGGUAUAUUUGGGUACACUUGGAUUUUGGGCUGUCAUACCCACUUAAUUUUUGUCUUCAAUUAGUUAAGUCAUUUUGAUAAUAGAGCCUAACCCAUUGGGACAUAAUAGAACAACUUCAGCCCAAGUGUCUAAUUUUAGCCCAUUAAUGAAUGUAAUCCCACUAGGUCUUCUAACUUAUUGUAAUCAGAUGGAGUGCAGAUAGCCGCCAGAUUUCCAGUGAGAUAUGCUAUCUUGAUGAGCCCUUCCAGACGCGAAACCUUCUUUACAUUGAGUUGGAUACGGUCGGCCCAAAGUGGUGCAAAGAAACCACCAGAAGGCUCCAACAGAUGCUUCUUUGUCAUUGAACGCAUCCAUCGCCAAAACCUUGCACGAUGUCUCUACCACAAUCUUCUUGUCGAGAUGCAGCCCCUUCUCCCUUUUUGUAUGAAGCUCGACAACCGUCAACCUCUUAAACAAUGACGCCACCUUCAUCGUGUUAGCAGGUCGUAGUGUGGUGGUCACUGGGAUUGAGUCACGGGUUUUGGAAUGCCCCGCGAAUGGAACUACGCUGGUGGAGUAGUUUUGAUAAGGGAAAACACGUGGGUUGUAGCUAAUAUGUGGGCUGCUGGAGUUAGUUUUGAUUAUGGACGGGCCAAAACUUAAUUGGGCUUGUUUUAAAUACUCAUUUCGAUCUUCUACCUACUGGUCCACCUCCCUGCCAAAGUCCAAAUCCAUCCAAUUCAAUAAUUUCCAUUCGUUCCUCUUCUCCAGAUUUAGCCGAAUUGCAAAGAUCCUUUCCAUCUCCGAUCUCUUCUACUUUGGCAAUGGUGAUGUUUUGGGUGGGAUUUUCUGUGUCUCAAUGUUUCCAGUCAAAUUCACCGGCAAAGGGGCUUCAGAAAUCGCCAGCUCAGGUGAGUUCUCUGCUAUUUCUUUUUCAUUCCACUCUCUUUCUUGCUAAUCCAUUUUUCUCAUCAUCAAAUCGAACCUCUCUAUCAUUCUAGACAUUGCUCUCAGAAAUUCAAUUUUCAUUGCACCUAACUCAAAUUGUAGGCGGUCAGUUCUCUCUUAUAAGGACUCCACUAUAGAACCGUAUUGAUGACAAGAUGAAUUACAGAAAUAAAGGAAAUACAAUCAGCAUUUCGAAAGGGUUGUACUCUCCACGAUAUAGUUUUAAUUCACUAUUUUGCAUGCCAAAUCCUUUCCCCUCCCCUUCUUUAUUUGAGAGCUAUUUGUAACUGUUUUUCUCUCCCACUUUUUAUACUCUAACAGUCUAGCUUUCCACCCAUUUGCAGGUUAUUCUUCUUCUUGGUCCUUCUAGAAUGUGUGAGGUGGAUUGGAGCCUAUCAGUAUCUUCAUAUCUCAAAGAAAAGUAUAUGAUGGAUUCAUUGAAAUAAACAAGUAUGCUUGGCUGUAAACCUUGUGAAACUCCGGUUGAGCCUAAUGGAAAAUUGGGUAAAGAGGCAAGAAAUCCAAUAUACGGGGAGAGAUAUGAGAGAAUAGUUGGAAGAUUGAUUUAUUUGUCACAUACUUAACUUGAUAUUGCUUUUGCAGUAAGCAUGGUCAGUUAAUAUAUGCACUAUCCAUUUCAAGGGCAUUUAGAUGCAGUUUAUAGGACUAGGAAAGUAUUGUUUUUUUUUGGGAAGAAUGUAGAAAGAGGUGUGGAAGUUUAUAUAGAUGCAGAUUGGGGCAGGCUCAAUUGAAUGAUAGAAAAUCCACUUCUGGUUAUGGUACAAUUGUUUGGGAAAAUUUAGUUAAAGGAAAAAUAAUGAAGUAGCCUGAAGUUGCGAAGGCAGAACUUCGAGCAUUAGUCCCUGAAGUGUGUGAAAUAAUUUGGAUAAGGAGACUACUAGAAGAAUUGAAGUUUCCGUGUAUGAAGCUUAUAAAGAUUAUUUGUGAUAAUAAGGCCGCAAUUAGUAUUACCUAUAAUUUGGUCCAUUAUGUUCUCACCAAGCAAGUGGAGAUUGACAAGCAUUUUCUAAAAGAGAAGAUCAAUAGUGGUGAAGUAUGUGUUUUGUUCGUGCUAUCCAAGGAGCAGGUAGCAAAUAUUUUUACGAGGGGUGUAGCAAGACAAAGCUUUGAAAAGUGUAUAGACAAGUUGGGGUGAUUAAUAUCUUCACACCGGCUUGAGGCGAGUGUUGAGAGGUUACGAUUUUAUUGUAAUAUAGUUAUCAUAGUUUAGUUUUAUCUUCGUUGAAAUUAAAUAAAUCCGGUAAGAUAAGAUAAGCCAGUUGGUUGGCUAGUUA